Molecule: ribosomal RNA, 253 nt
Filed under: uncultured bacterium
Lineage: Bacteria
Description: partial 16S ribosomal RNA
Rfam family: Bacterial small subunit ribosomal RNA
Source: RNAcentral
UACGAAGGGGGCUAGCGUUGUUCGGAAUCACUGGGCGUAAAGCGCACGCAGGCGGAUCGAUAAGUCGGGGGUGAAAGCCCGGGGCUCAACCUCGGAAUUGCCUUCGAUACUGUCGGUCUCGAGUCCGGGAGAGGUGAGUGGAAUUCCUAGUGUAGAGGUGAAAUUCGUAGAUAUUAGGAAGAACACCAGUGGCGAAGGCGGCUCACUGGCCCGGUACUGACGCUCAUGUGCGAUAGCGUGUGGAGCAAACAGG